This 259-nucleotide long non-coding RNA is filed under the name Lathyrus oleraceus (garden pea). RNAcentral describes it as "Pisum sativum (pea) long non-coding RNA (PSAT_LNC013105)". Lineage: Eukaryota; Viridiplantae; Streptophyta; Magnoliopsida; Fabales; Fabaceae. The record is from RNAcentral.
UCAUUCUUCCCUCUCAGAGUCUAUCCUUGAUAUGUUCAUCCUAACCGGUGACAGAUAUUCUCCCCUUUUUGUAUUCUAUCCAGUAUUCGAUAGAUGUAAUUCCUACUUUGUUCUAGUAUCUUAUCCUUGAUAUGUUUUUCUUAACCGGUGACGGGUAUCCUCCUUAACAUCCCCAGGCAAGACUGUCCUUGAUAUGUUCAUCUUAACCGAUGACGAAUUUCCUUUCCUUUGAGUCUAUCCUUGAUAUGUUCAUUUUAAU